ACGCAUCUCUGAUAGACCUUGAGCAGUUAAUGUCUGCUGCUAAGGUUUCCACUACAGAUGCAAGAGAAAGAAAGUCCUUGCACUUUCUGUCUGUCUGGUUGCAGCAGCCAAGAUUGAAUGGGGGAAUACAGGA
This 133-nucleotide small nucleolar RNA is filed under the name Dasypus novemcinctus (nine-banded armadillo). RNAcentral describes it as "Small nucleolar RNA SNORA31 (ENSDNOG00000037770.1)". It matches the Rfam family "Small nucleolar RNA SNORA31". Rfam says of the family: ACA31 (SNORA31) belongs to the H/ACA class of snoRNAs which are thought to guide the sites of modification of uridines to pseudouridines. Lineage: Eukaryota; Metazoa; Chordata; Mammalia; Cingulata; Dasypodidae. The record is from RNAcentral.